Molecule: ribosomal RNA, 643 nt
Filed under: Fusarium sp. NRRL 32521
Lineage: Eukaryota; Fungi; Ascomycota; Sordariomycetes; Hypocreales; Nectriaceae
Description: eukaryotic LSU rRNA
Rfam family: Eukaryotic large subunit ribosomal RNA
Source: RNAcentral
AACUUCUGAAUGUUGACCUCGGAUCAGGUAGGAAUACCCGCUGAACUUAAGCAUAUCAAUAAGCGGAGGAAAAGAAACCAACAGGGAUUGCCCUAGUAACGGCGAGUGAAGCGGCAACAGCUCAAAUUUGAAAUCUGGCUCUCGGGCCCGAGUUGUAAUUUGUAGAGGAUGCUUUUGAUGCGGUGCCUUCCGAGUUCCCUGGAACGGGACGCCAUAGAGGGUGAGAGCCCCGUCUGGUCGGAUGCCAAAUCUCUGUAAAGCUCCUUCGACGAGUCGAGUAGUUUGGGAAUGCUGCUCUAAAUGGGAGGUAUAUGUCUUCUAAAGCUAAAUAUUGGCCAGAGACCGAUAGCGCACAAGUAGAGUGAUCGAAAGAUGAAAAGCACUUUGAAAAGAGAGUUAAAAAGUACGUGAAAUUGUUGAAAGGGAAGCGUUUAUGACCAGACUUGGGCUUGGUUAAUCAUCUGGGGUUCUCCCCAGUGCACUUUUCCAGUCCAGGCCAGCAUCAGUUUUCGCCGGGGGAUAAAGGCUUCGGGAAUGUGGCUCUCUCCGGGGAGUGUUAUAGCCCGUUGCGUAAUACCCUGGCGGGGACUGAGGUUCGCGCAUCUGCAAGGAUGCUGGCGUAAUGGUCAUCAACGACCCGUCU